Long non-coding RNA from Falco peregrinus (peregrine falcon), 1349 nucleotides. RefSeq lists it as uncharacterized. The record is from RefSeq and is a predicted model, not a curated record. The transcript is spliced from 3 exons. Lineage: Eukaryota; Metazoa; Chordata; Aves; Falconiformes; Falconidae.
UUAAGAUGCCUAAAAUCAGUUAAGAUGAAUUUUCAUGUGUUUUUAGGGUUCCUCUAACCUCUGGAGCCUUUGAGGUCUGGUGUUGUGCCCAAUAGAAACUGCAUGUUGUACAAAGUUGUCCUCAUUCCAUUUAGAUGUUAUUGGAGACCACUGGGAGGAAUGUCUUGGGUUCAGAUGAAAUAAAACUAAGACCUUAAGUGGUUGCCCAUGAACAUAUAUACAGCCUCCAUUCACACAGGAACUAGACAGAAGGAAGAAAAAGGCAAGCAAUGCAAAUAAAGCUUGUUAGUUGAAGAAUAAAAAUGUUGAAAGAGUUACCCAAGUUUCCUCACAGAAAAAUACAUCAGCUGCACAUUUGUCAAGUUAAACAGCUGCUAGUGAAGAGCCGUUGAAUUGAAAGCUUUUUUUAAAUUGUGUCUGUCCACCUAGGCAGCUGCCAGAUAUUCUUUAUUCACAGUCAAUUCAUAUCACAACUCUCCCAUGAAAAUACAAGGAUUAGCUCUUUUUUGUGUUUUUUUUUUUAAACUAAAAAGACAUUAAAGGAAGAGAUUAACUACUGCUUAAUAUAAGUAGUAAAGUAACAAAUUAAACUGCUUUAAAUCUUCCUCUGGGUGUAUAAUUUAUGUAUUAUAUGGGGAACUUCAGCUAGCGAGAACCAACUACUUUUAAUUUUACAUGAUCACAAUCACGGUACUAAAGGUUCUAAUGACUGCUGGAAUUCCAUUUUUGAAAUUGCCGCAAUCACUUUGAGAUGCAUUUGAAAUUUUUUCAAAAAGCGAUCGCUUCAGGGCCGCAGUGGCCUUGUAUCUGUGGCUCCAGAUCACAGGUUGGGACUCUGUUUUGUCAAAACCGCCAUCCUCAUUUCAGCACUGUUUUGAUGCUUUAAAAAAAAUACUGUUUAUGGGUUUCCAGCCAAAGGAAAUAUCAGAAGCAUUUCCAAGAGUGUGUACUAUAUCUUUAGAGCCUGUUGUUUCAUUGAAACGUUUCCACACUGAGACAACACCGGUAGCAUUUUAAUUGUUUGUUCUACUCUUCCCUUGAGAACAUCGUGGUCUCCCGUGUCCAAAAGGAAGAUAUAAAAUCUGUGACAUUCCCCAAAAGAAACAUUUCCCGCAUCCAGGAAAAAACCCAAAUAUUUCUCUAGCAGGUAUUCAUCACAGACCACUGAAUUGUUAGCAGCUGCUAGGAUUUCUAUGCCUUAAUUUCCGAGCAUGAUCAACAGCUGAAAAAGUGAAGAAACAGCCACAUACAUGCACACAGCCAGGAGAUGAUGCAUCACAGCUACCCGUCUGUAAUGGUUAUAGACAGAGCUGAAGAUGAUGCACUCAGAUGAACCUUUAGAAAGCCAA